UCUCCUUGACUGUCGCCCUCGGAAGAACUCUGCUCCAUGGGCCUGCAGGCUGAAAUUUCCACUGUUUUCCAUCCUUCAGUUAAUAUGUUGCCCUGAACAAGACAGAACAAGUAGGACACAGAAAAGCCCUCCCUGAGGCCGCCUUCCUGCCCUGUAGGACUGCAGCUGCUGGGAUCCAUUUCCUGCUCGAGAGAGCAGUGCCAAGGAUAGGAGUGGGGGUGACUGCCCACAGGCCGGCUCAAAGGCCACCCAGGGUCAGAAGACAGACAGUUCCCUGAUUUGAGGCAACCGGCUAUGAGUCACUUGUCAUCCAGAGUUGAGUUAAUCAGACUGGGCAGCCCCCACCUCGCUCAGCCAACUGUGGAGCCUGCCCUCUGGGGCCCCGGCCUGCACAGAUGCCCCACAGCGGCUCCAUCCUAUGGACAGGCACGGUUGUCUAUGCUUCACCCACUGAUGAACACUUCAGUUGCUUCCAUCUCUUGGCAGUUGUGAAUAGUGCUGCUGUGAAUGUGCCAGGCCGUAGGGGUGCAGCCAUCAGGUACCUCACUCUGCGGCAUCUGGGCAGCAUGGACAUCGUCCGGUGACAAGGACCUCGCUCCCCAUGUGACACUGGAAGUGGCCGUCACCAGUCAGGACCGGAGAGACCAUGGGUGCAGGCACACAGCCACCAUGCUCAAGCCAAGAGUGAAUGGUUCUCCUUUUAAAAUAUUCUGUAAUAGGGCUUCCCUAUUCAAUGGUUCAAUGUUUAGGAGUCACCUUGCAACGCAGAGGACACCGGUUCAGCCCCUGGUCUGGGAAGAUCCCACACGCAGCAGAGCAGCUAAGCCUGCGAGAUGCAACAGAUGCAACUACUGAAGCCUGUGUGCCCUAAGAGCCCACGCUCUGCAACAAGAGAAGCCACCGCUGAGAGGCCCGUGCACCACAACUAGAGAAAAGCCCGUGCGAAGCAACAAAGAUCCACCACAGCCAAUAAAUAC
Dama dama (fallow deer) is the source of this 977-nucleotide long non-coding RNA. RefSeq lists it as uncharacterized. The transcript is spliced from 3 exons. The record is from RefSeq and is a predicted model, not a curated record. NCBI's taxonomy places the organism in Eukaryota, Metazoa, Chordata, Mammalia, Artiodactyla, Cervidae.